This 520-nucleotide ribosomal RNA is filed under the name uncultured Entrophospora. Its description in RNAcentral is "SSU rRNA". It matches the Rfam family "Eukaryotic small subunit ribosomal RNA", at positions 569 to 1081 of the family's 1831-position model. Lineage: Eukaryota; Fungi; Glomeromycota; Glomeromycetes; Entrophosporales; Entrophosporaceae. The record is from RNAcentral.
AGCAGCCGCGGUAAUUCCAGCUCCAAUAGCGUAUAUUAAAGUUGUUGCGUAAAGUCAAGUCGUAGUUGAAUUUCGGGAUUGACCCAUCGGUCGUGCCUUAAGGGGUAUGAACUGGUGUAGUCAAUUUCUCACCUUCUGGAGAACCGUGAUGUCCUUAAUUGGGUGCCACGAGGAACCAGGACCUUUACUUUGAAAAAAACUUAGAGUGUUUAAAGCAGGCAUUUUUGCUUGAAUACAUUAGCAUGGAAUAAUAAAAUAGGACGGCAUGAUUCUAUUUUGUUGGUUUCUAGGAUCACCGUAAUGAUUAAUAGGGAUAGUUGGGGGCAUUAGUAUUCAAUUGUCAGAGGUGAAAUUCUUGGAUUUAUUGAAGACUAACUACUGCGAAAGCAUUUGCCAAGGAUGUUUUCAUUAAUCAAGAACGAAAGUUAGGGGACCGAAGACGAUCAGAUACCGUCGUAGUCUUAACCAUAAACUAUGCCGACUAGGGAUCGGAUGAUGUUAAUUUUUUAAUGACUCAUUC